AUUAUUUUAUUUUAUAAAUAGAUGAAUAUUUUUUAUUAAAGUAAAAAGCAAUUCUAUUUAUAUGAAAAAAAUUAGUUUUUUAAUAAACACUUCGCAAGAAAUUCUUUAUAUUUUGUUCCAAAAACCUAAAAAAAAUUAAAAUUCCCGCCCCUUAGGCCUCGCGCGCUAGCUAAAUUAAUUAAAAUUCCCGCCCCUUAACCCAACCUUUAAUUGUUUUGGUAUUGCUGCCCCUUUCUUCGCCAAACAUAACCUUCUCUCUAUUAACAGAACUCAAGCCCUAGUUUUCUAUUCGAUUCCUACUUCGACGAUGGACUUUUCAAUAUAUCCCAGCCUCUCUCUAUCUUAUCUCAUAUAUAGAUUACGGAAGACGAUUCAGACCGAAUCUCUCGCUCCACCUUCACUCACAAUCACUUCAUGAGCGCACAACCGUCAUCGGCUACUUCUUCAUCACCAUAGACGACCGAAGUUAAUGCUAGGCUUCCAUUUUUGAGUUUUGGUGUUGCUGCUCCUGGUAUGUCUAUAUCUAAUCUUUAACGGUCUACUACUGGGGAUUUGAUCCAUCCGCUCUUUACGUCAAUAUUUCACUCGACCUCUCUAUAACUAAUUGUUGGAUGGGCUCAUGUUACAAGAAUUCAAGCUCUUUUUGUUUAAGAUGGUUUAAGUAUUUUAUGUCCAGGUCUUUGAACCCUUUGUUUAGGAAUCUAUAGCUCAUUUUUGUCUAAGAUCUUGAAACAUUUUAUUUAAGAUACUAGCUUGUUUUGGCCCAAAUUAUUGGAGUUGAAUUGUUUUAGAAGCUAAGACUCAUUUUGUUAUGCGAUGGACUUUAAACAAUACAUUUUUUGGUUGGUGUAACUUAUGCAAUAUCAAGUAUUCAUUUGUUUGCAUAAUCGUGUUGAUGUGAUAAUUUUUUUUUUAUAUAUUAUUUCUUUUGUUUAUAAUAUUAAUAAUUUAUAGGUUUGUCAUAAAUUUUUAUUGUGCCACGAUAAAAUAUGUAUUCUAUUUUUGGUAUUUGUCACAAUAUAUAUUUUUGGUUAUUAAAUUAAAUUUUAUUUUAUUAAUAAUAGAAUAGCCACGG
Molecule: long non-coding RNA, 1075 nt
Organism: Cornus florida
Lineage: Eukaryota; Viridiplantae; Streptophyta; Magnoliopsida; Cornales; Cornaceae
Exons: 3
Source: RefSeq, a predicted model, not a curated record